Molecule: ribosomal RNA, 252 nt
Filed under: uncultured bacterium
Lineage: Bacteria
Description: partial 16S ribosomal RNA
Rfam family: Bacterial small subunit ribosomal RNA
Source: RNAcentral
UACGGAGGAUGCGAGCGUUAUCCAGAUUUAUUGGGUUUAAAGGGUGCGUAGGCGGACGCUUAAGUCAGCGGUAAAAUUGCGGGGCUCAACCUCGUCGAGCCGUUGAAACUGGGGGCCUUGAGUGGGCGAGAAGAAGGCGGAAUGCGUGGUGUAGCGGUGAAAUGCAUAGAUAUCACGCAGAACCCCGAUUGCGAAGGCGGCCUUCCGGCGCCCUACUGACGCUGAGGCACGAAAGUGCGGGGAUCGAACAGG